This 468-nucleotide ribosomal RNA is filed under the name uncultured bacterium. RNAcentral describes it as "partial 16S ribosomal RNA". It matches the Rfam family "Bacterial small subunit ribosomal RNA", at positions 28 to 507 of the family's 1533-position model. The record is from RNAcentral.
GACGAACGCUGGCGGCGUGCUUAACACAUGCAAGUCGAACGGUAACGGAGGGAGUUUGUUCUCUUCGGGAGUGUGGCAAACGGGUGUGUCACAUGUGUAACAUCUGCUUCGCAUUCUGGGAUCAGCAGUGAAAACGACGUACAAUAGCGGAGAAGACGCGGGAGGGUAGAGUGCCUGGGAGGAUAGCGCCGGGUGGGGGGGUGAUCGCGGCGUAUCACCUUGUUGGUGGGGUGUUAGCGUACCCAGGGGCUGACGGGUAGCCGGCCUGUGAGGGUGACCGGCCACACUGGGACUGAGAUACGGCCCAGGCUCCUACGGGAGGCAGCAGUGGGGAAUAUUGCACAAUGGGCGGAAGCCUGAUGCAGCAACGCCGCGUGCGGGACGACGGCCUUCGGGUUGUAAACCGCUUUUGGCUGAGAAGAAGCGUGAGUGACGGUACCUGCAGAAGAAGCACCGGCUAACUACGUG